Molecule: long non-coding RNA, 2041 nt
Filed under: Panax ginseng (ginseng)
Lineage: Eukaryota; Viridiplantae; Streptophyta; Magnoliopsida; Apiales; Araliaceae
Description: long non-coding RNA (PGIN_LNC015217)
Source: RNAcentral
AAAUUAAUUACUCAAUUUUGAUUUUUUAAAGUCAAAUUGACCAUUUUUAAAACUAAUCUUUUUACUAUUUUUGCUAAAAUAUAGGUAAAGAGAUUAUAACCAAAAGAAGGUAUAUACAAUUUAUUACUAACCCCAAUUUUUAUAAUUUUAAAAAUAUUUAUAUAUGUUUAAUUAUUAAUUCUAAAAAUAGUCAAUUUGACUUAAAAAAAGUCAAAACUGAGCAAUUAAUUUGGGACGGAGGGAGUAUAAACUAAGUAAUUAAUACUUACUUGAAGUUAUCAAACGACUUAUAUUAAGGGACAAAAACACUCCACUAAAACGAUUUAUAUUAAAGGACGGAGGGAGUAGUAAAAUAUUUAUUUCUCCUCUCUCUUUAUGAUCACUUUCUAGCUCUCUUCUUUUAUUAUUCUCUCUGUCCCCAAAAAAUGAGCAAAAUAUAAAUUUGCACACAUUAAAAAAAAUAAAAAAAUAGAGGAAAUAGAGUAAAAAAAUUUUAAAUUUAUCCAUAGUGACCCCACAAGAUUAUAUAAUGUGAUGAGUAUAUAUUUUUAAUUUUUUAUACUAAUGGAUCCCACUAAAUGACAUAUUUAUUCUUUAUUUUAAAUUUUUUUUUUUUUUUUUGGGGACAAAAAAAUUAUAUCUUUAAUAAUUCUUUUAAAAAUAAAGGGAGUAUUAUUUUAUUUUAAGUAUGUCUUUGGAUAUGCACUUAAAGGUGUGCAUGUAAAUACAUAUAUUCAUGUUUCAAUUGUUAUUAAGGUUUGUUACUCGAUAGUCAGACAAAAUGAGACUGUUAUUUUGGAACGUGAGAGUACGUCCCUUAAUUUCUCUUCGUUGUGUUUCACGAAAGUGUUCUAUUUUAACUUCUUAAAAUUAAUUACAUGAAAUUGUAAUAAUUAAAAUUAAUAUAAAUUUAUUUAAAUUAUAAAAAUAGUAAUUUUUUAGUAGUUUACAACAUUCGCUGUAGAAUGGCAUAAAAUCAUUGAAUAAAUUUAAAUCAACUUUAAAUUUAAAUAUUAAAAUUUUGUAAAUUGAUUUAAAAUUGUCAAAUAAUUUUUCUUUUUAAGUACAGAUGUAGGAUUACAUGUUUUUGUUUGAAUUCUAUAAACUAUUGAAUACCGCGUUCAUGUAUUAGGAUUAGGUUGUGAUAGAUGGGGAUCGAUGUUAUCCUUUACUAUAUGUUUAUUACUCCUUCCUAUUCAGAUUAAAUAACGUUUUAAGGAGUUUAAUUUUAUUCUAUAUAAGUGUCGUUUUAGAAUUUCUAUGCAAUAUUGCACUAUUUUUUUCUAAUUUACCCCUCUAUUUAAUAUGCUUAGUAAAUACAAUUGUGGAGAGAAAAAUAAUUAAUUAGGGACAAUUAUGGAGAAUGAGAAGAGAUAAUUGUGGAAAGAGAAAUAAUUAAUUAGGAACAUAAAAGAUAUUUGUGUUAUUUCUUAAUAAGUGUGUUUAACUCUAAAAUGUCAUUUAAUUUGAAUAGGAGGGAUUAAUAUAUAAUAAUUUCCUAUCUAAGUCAUGUCAUAUUAUAUUUAUUAAUUGAACCCAUGCUGCAAUUGGAUCUUUACUAAUUAUGAGGAGAGGGCAGGACGGACAUGGUGGCUCUUAUAUUUAUAUUAUUGCCUUCUUAAAUUUUAAAAAGUUGAAUGUUUAUAUAUAGAGAGAGAGGGAGUACGGAUUUAAAGCAUUUCUUUUAAAUAAUAUAUUUUUAUUAAAAUUACGUCGUUUUAAAUAUUAUUUUAAAAAAUAAAAUAAUAUUAAAAUUAAAAAAGAAUGAUCUCAUUUACUUUCUUUUUAUUUACAAAAAUGUCACUUGCGUCUCUACUUGUUUUUUAAACGAAUCUCCAAAACGACGUAAUUUUAAUAUAAAAGUAUACUAUAAAUCUGUUAUAUAUAUAUAUACACACACGAUCCGGAUCUUAACUUCACCCCUUAUCUAGCUCACCUUACUCACCCUCCUUUAGCGACGGACCGGGCGUCGAUUCGGUCCAUCGCUAUAUAUAUAUAGAAUUGUCGUCUAUGUGUUAUCCGUCGCUAUAUGUUGUCCGUC